RNAcentral lists this long non-coding RNA (201 nucleotides) under Lathyrus oleraceus (garden pea). Its description in RNAcentral is "Pisum sativum (pea) long non-coding RNA (PSAT_LNC017892)". Lineage: Eukaryota; Viridiplantae; Streptophyta; Magnoliopsida; Fabales; Fabaceae. The record is from RNAcentral.
AGAACUUAAAAAUGGGAAUUUUAAAAAAAAAGAAAAUGGAAAGAGAGUGUAUCAGUAUUGAUGGGCCAUGAAAGGGGGUGCUGAAAGCGAAAAGUGGAAGGCCCAUGGUCCAAAUCAUUAAAUCUGGGCGUGACAAUUAUUAAAUGAACAUUUUAAUAAAAUAAUUCAUGUAACUUGUAUCAACCGGUCACAUGUGUUUAA